This 468-nucleotide ribosomal RNA is filed under the name uncultured bacterium. RNAcentral describes it as "partial 16S ribosomal RNA". It matches the Rfam family "Bacterial small subunit ribosomal RNA", at positions 28 to 507 of the family's 1533-position model. The record is from RNAcentral.
GACGAACGCUGGCGGCGUGCUUAACACAUGCAAGUCGAACGGAAAGGCCCUGCUUUUGUGGGGUGCUCGAGUGGCGAACGGGUGAGUAACACGUGAGUAACCUGCCCUUGACUUUGGGAUAACUUCAGGAAACUGGGGCUAAUACCGGAUAGGAGCUCCUGCUGCAUGGUGGGGGUUGGAAAGUUUCGGCGGUUGGGGAUGGACUCGCGGCUUAUCAGCUUGUUGGUGGGGUAGUGGCUUACCAAGGCUUUGACGGGUAGCCGGCCUGAGAGGGUGACCGGCCACAUUGGGACUGAGAUACGGCCCAGACUCCUACGGGAGGCAGCAGUGGGGAAUAUUGCACAAUGGGCGGAAGCCUGAUGCAGCAACGCCGCGUGUGGGAUGACGGCCUUCGGGUUGUAAACCGCUUUCGCCUGUGACGAAGCGUGAGUGACGGUAAUGGGUAAAGAAGCAACGGCUAACUACGUG